CAGAUGUGAGAUGCAGUUUCGGAAGAUUCAAGGCACCGAAAUGAAAGAGAUUAAGGUCAGAGAAGCUGAAGGCAAUUGAGAGUGACGUCUGAAACAGGGUUCAUCUGCAAAUGUCCUGGUUCAUUUGAUGUACAUGUAUAUUAGUUCCUUGGCCAGGUUUUUCUUCCCUUUGUUCUGCUCUUGUUCCAUGUGAGUUCCUUUCCUGGAUGAAUCGGCUGAAGUGAGAACUAUUCUUGAACUGUCUCAACUCUUCAUAUAACUGCGGUGUGGAGUUGGACUGGCGAGCCUCCUUUAAGCGAAUCUUUGAAACCUUUGCGUGAAUUUCACCGGUUGGACAGACACAGGAACUAAACUUGCACACCUUCAACUGGUAGGAGUGAAAUUGCACAGUUCACUUUGUCCUGAUCUGGAGUGGAGACUAAAGACUGAGAUUACCAUCAAUUAAUUGACAAUUGAGACGGAAUUUCUGAAUCCUCAGGUUUUUUAUCAGUUCAUUGAGGAAAUUAAUGCUUUUGUGAAACUUGGGUACGUCAUUCAGAGAAAUUAUACUUUGUUUUAUUUGUUCAUUUUCCUAAUUAUAAGUCUGUGUUGUUUAUUUGGUUUAAAGGGAUCACUAAAAUAAAAUCUCAUUCAAAUAACUUGUUCACUUCUGCUACAUUCUCUCUCUCUCUCUCUCG
This is a long non-coding RNA of Puntigrus tetrazona (Sumatra barb), 677 nucleotides long. RefSeq lists it as uncharacterized. The transcript is spliced from 3 exons. Lineage: Eukaryota; Metazoa; Chordata; Actinopteri; Cypriniformes; Cyprinidae. The record is from RefSeq and is a predicted model, not a curated record.